GGCCAGACUCCUACGGGAGGCAGCAGUGGGGAAUAUUGCACAAUGGGGGAAACCCUGAUGCAGCGACGCCGCGUGAGCGAUGAAGUAUUUCGGUAUGUAAAGCUCUAUCAGCAGGGAAGAAAAUGACGGUACCUGACUAAGAAGCCCCGGCUAACUACGUGCCAGCAGCCGCGGUAAUACGUAGGGGGCAAGCGUUAUCCGGAUUUACUGGGUGUAAAGGGAGCGUAGACGGCGGUGCAAGCCAGAUGUGAAGGCCCGGGGCUCAACCCCGGGACUGCAUUUGGAACUGUGCUGCUGGAGUGCAGGAGGGGCAGGCGGAAUUCCUGGUGUAGCGGUGAAAUGCGUAGAUAUCAGGAGGAACACCGGUGGCGAAGGCGGCCUGCUGGACUGCGACUGACGUUGAGGCCCGAAAGCGUGGGGAGCAAACAGGAUUAGAUACCCCGGUAAGU
RNAcentral lists this ribosomal RNA (449 nucleotides) under uncultured bacterium. RNAcentral's name for it is "partial 16S ribosomal RNA". It matches the Rfam family "Bacterial small subunit ribosomal RNA", at positions 329 to 794 of the family's 1533-position model. The record is from RNAcentral.